This 469-nucleotide ribosomal RNA is filed under the name uncultured Gram-positive bacterium. Its description in RNAcentral is "bacterial SSU rRNA". It matches the Rfam family "Bacterial small subunit ribosomal RNA", at positions 8 to 465 of the family's 1533-position model. The record is from RNAcentral.
AGAGUUUGAUUGGCUCAGAAUCAACGCUGGCGGCGUGCCUAACACAUGCAAGUCGAACGCGAAAGCCCGCAAGGGUAAGUAGAGUGGCAAACGGGUGAGUAACACGUGGGUGACCUGCCUUAGAGUGGGGGAUAACGUCCCGAAAGGGACGCUAAUACCGCAUAACAUCCUGCCUUUGAAGAGGUGGAGAUCAAAGCCGGGGACCGCAAGGCCUGGCGCUUAAAGAGGGGCCCGCGCCUGAUUAGCUAGUUGGUGAGGUAAUGGCUCACCAAGGCAACGAUCAGUAUCCGGCCUGAGAGGGCGGACGGACACACUGGGACUGAGACACGGCCCAGACUCCUACGGGAGGCAGCAGUGGGGAAUUGUUCGCAAUGGGCGCAAGCCUGACGACGCAACGCCGCGUGGAGGAUGAAGACCUUCGGGUCGUAAACUCCUUUCGAUCGAGACGAACAGCCAUCGGUGAACAAUC